This 575-nucleotide non-coding RNA is filed under the name Cryptosporidium parvum. The record is from RNAcentral. Lineage: Eukaryota; Apicomplexa; Conoidasida; Eucoccidiorida; Cryptosporidiidae.
CCACCAUUACCACCACUAUUGCCAUCAUUAUUGCUAUCACCAUUGCUAUCACCAUUAUUUAAUUUCAACUUUUUGGAUUUGCAACUGCUACUAGAACAACAAGAAGAUUUCUUUUCUGAUUCCUCUGAUUGCUCAUUACCUCCAUCGCCCUCUUGUGUUCUAGGUGGUUCUGUUGGCAUUUCUUCACCAAAUCCUCCGUAAUAACCAGUUACAGACCAAACAUGUUUAGGUUGAGUCGGGUUUCCAAUUUCUAUAGAUCCGCGAUUAGAACUACUUGAGCAGCAACUAUCAUCAGAAGAACAAGAAGAAGAACAACAACAACAUAAUCUUCUUAAAAAUCUUCUCGGAGAACUUAAUUUAAUAAGAGAAUGAUCAACAUGGGUAUUUAAACUCAAAAUUUGAUCAUGGAUUCCAAGGAAAUUUGACAAAAAAGCCAAACAUAAUACUAGAGGAAUAAAAUUUAACUUUACUGUAUUCAUUAUUAAAAAAUAAAAUUUAUGUAAAAACUGACAUUCAUAUGAUCAGCAAGGAAGAAAACUGUCUCAAUCAUAAUUAGGCGGUUCUUAAGACGUUUU